Molecule: ribosomal RNA, 451 nt
Filed under: uncultured bacterium
Lineage: Bacteria
Description: bacterial SSU rRNA
Rfam family: Bacterial small subunit ribosomal RNA
Source: RNAcentral
GACGAACGCUGGCGGCAGGCUUAACACAUGCAAGUCGAACGAACUCUUCGGAGUUAGUGGCAGACGGGUGCGUAACACGUGGGAACCUACCCUAAGGUACGGAAUAACUCAGGGAAACUUGUGCUAAUACCGUAUAUGUCUUCGGAUGAAAGAUUUAUCGCCUUAGGAUGGGCCCGCGGCUGAUUAGUUUGUUGGUGGGGUAAAAGCCUACCAAGACUACGAUCAGUAGCUGGUCUGAGAGGAUGAUCAGCCACACUGGAACUGAGACACGGUCCAGACUCCUACGGGAGGCAGCAGUGAGGAAUAUUGGACAAUGGGGGCAACCCUGAUCCAGCCAUGCCGCGUGAGUGAUGAAGGCCUUAGGGUUGUAAAACUCUUUCGCUAGUGAAGAUAAUGACGGUAACUAGUAAAGAAGCCCCCGGCUAAUUUUCGUGCCAGCCGCCGCGGUAAU